RNAcentral lists this long non-coding RNA (510 nucleotides) under Numida meleagris (helmeted guineafowl). RNAcentral's name for it is "lncRNA (ENSNMEG00000013956.1)". The record is from RNAcentral. Lineage: Eukaryota; Metazoa; Chordata; Aves; Galliformes; Numididae.
GUGUAGCUUUGUGAUACCUAUCUCUCUAACAAAAGCCAAAGGAAAGUAAAUGGAGAGCUCUGUGGCAUAUUCUUGUCCUCAGAGUUUAUUUCAGAGCCUGUGAUGAAAACCACUGAUGUGUAAGACCUUGGUCUUUCCUGUGUAUAGUUUCAGAUGAAAGAGAUGAAGAAGUGAUUUCCUCCAGUCUGCAAACCAAAUGGGUCCCAGGCUCUUCAUGUGUAAAAAUGAUCCACUGAAAUUGUGGCUGCUGCCAUCUUUAAUAUAAUUGUUGGAUGGCUGAACCGUGCAGGUAUCAGCUGUGUGCUGUUUUGUAUUGGCCAGCAGUGCACCUGUAGAAAGCUGAUGAUCAUCAUUGUGAGUAACUUUAAGGUGAGCAAAACAUCCUAUUUAGUCUCAAAUAUAUUUUCAGUAAGAGCUGGGUAGUUGUAAGGAAUGAAUUCCUUCUCGUGCACUACUUCUGUCUCCACAAAGCAGUUCCUGGGCCUUUGCAGGCUUUCUGAUCAGACUGAC